RNAcentral lists this ribosomal RNA (466 nucleotides) under uncultured bacterium. RNAcentral describes it as "bacterial SSU rRNA". It matches the Rfam family "Bacterial small subunit ribosomal RNA", at positions 329 to 792 of the family's 1533-position model. The record is from RNAcentral.
UGCCAGACUCCUACGGGAGGCAGCAGUGAGGAAUAUUGGUCAAUGGACGAGAGUCUGAACCAGCCAAGUAGCGUGAAGGAUGACUGCCCUAUGGGUUGUAAACUUCUUUUAUAUGGGAAUAAAACAGGGUAUGCAUACCCUCUUGUAUGUACCAUAUGAAUAAGGAUCGGCUAACUCCGUGCCAGCAGCCGCGGUAAUACGGAGGAUCCGAGCGUUAUCCGGAUUUAUUGGGUUUAAAGGGAGCGUAGGUGGAUUGUUAAGUCAGUUGUGAAAGUUUGCGGCUCAACCGUAAAAUUGCAGUUGAAACUGGCAGUCUUGAGUACAGUAGGGGUGGGCGGAAUUCGUGGUGUAGCGGUGAAAUGCUUAGAUAUCACGAAGAACUCCGAUUGCGAAGGCAGCGUACCGGCUCCACACUGACGCUGAGGCACGAAAGCGUGGGUAUCGAACAGGAUUAGAUACCCGAGUA